ACAAGCGGUGGAGUAUGUGGUUUAAUUCGAUGCAACGCGAAGAACCUUACCUGGUCUUGACAUCCCGGAGACCCUUAGGAAACUAGGGGGUGCUUCCAUCUGGAAGAAUCUGGAGACAGGUGCUGCAUGGCUGUCGUCAGCUCGUGUCGUGAGAUGUUGGGUUAAGUCCCGCAACGAGCGCAACCCUUGCCUUUAGUUGCCAACAGUUCGGCUGGGCACUCUAAAGGGACUGCCGGUGUUAAACCGGAGGAAGGUGGGGAUGACGUCAAGUCCUCAUGGCCUUUAUGACCAGGGCUACACACGUACUACAAUGGCCGAUACAAAGGGCAGCGACACUGCGAGGUGAAGCCAAUCCCGUAAAAUCGGUCUCAGUCCGGAUUGGAGUCUGCAACUCGACUCCAUGAAGUUGGAAUCGCUAGUAAUCGUGGAUCAGCAUGCCACGGUGAAUACGUUCCCGGGCCUU
Molecule: ribosomal RNA, 463 nt
Filed under: uncultured Desulfobulbus sp.
Lineage: Bacteria; Pseudomonadati; Thermodesulfobacteriota; Desulfobulbia; Desulfobulbales; Desulfobulbaceae
Description: bacterial SSU rRNA
Rfam family: Bacterial small subunit ribosomal RNA
Source: RNAcentral